This is a non-coding RNA of Pelobates cultripes (western spadefoot toad), 203 nucleotides long. The record is from the annotation of a GenBank genome assembly. Lineage: Eukaryota; Metazoa; Chordata; Amphibia; Anura; Pelobatidae.
CAGGUUUUAACGCAUCAGAUGCAAACAUAGCAGUUUCAGAGAGACUUGUAUGUUUACAUAGCAGGGUUAAGCCAGCCUCUAGUGGCUGUCUUCCGGACAGCCACGAGAGGCGCAUCUGCGACGCUGGAGGCAUAUUAUGCCUCCAUCACGCAGACCGUCCAUAGGAAAGCAUUGAAAAAUGCUUUCCUAUGGACACUUUGAAU